ACUGUCAUUAUUAUGUCACAUAAGAUUAUGACUUCUAUCUUGCUAGUAGACCCUCUCCAUUAACUCUCUCUCUUUCUGAUUGAGUGUAAGCUGCUAUAUGAAGGGAUCCACAAGACGAAUAAUUAAGGGGGACCUCUGAUCAACAGCCAGCAAGGAACUGAAUCCCUCAGACCCACAACUCACAAGAAACUGAAGCUGAAGCAGAUUCUUCCUCAGUCAAGCUUCAGAAAGAAAUCAUGAGUGACCACUCAGCUCAAGGCUUCUCUGCUGAUGCCAUCCAGUGAGUUUCCUGGCAGCCAUCUUUUUAUGAAAGAAUAGAGGUCAGCCUGACUGCACUUCCAGAUGAUUAGAGGUGCCCAGCUGUAUUGGUAGAGGAGACCAACCACACCCUCCACAGCACAGCACCUGGAGAGGAACUGCUGCCAUGACCAUAGAGGACACCCUCUGGAUACAAUGCCAGACUUGAUGUGGGACUGACCAACCUAUGGACCCCAGGCACCACCACCCAGACCUGCUCAGCACCUGAAACAUUCACAGCCGUGGAGAGAGAACUGUUCACUGCUACCAUCCACACUUCUGGGCCCCUUCAGCAGCAGGGUGACAAGGAAGAGGGAAAUCGACUUGGAAAAGAGGGGACCUCUGACCCAAGAGUUCGGUCAAUGCAUAUGUUGGCAGCCAGCUGCACAUCGCACCAAAUAUGAACUUCAAAUAGAAGAAAGCCUCAUUUGGAAGAAAGCUCAUGCACAGACUGUAAAUAUUUCAGAGCAGAUUGUGUCUCUGUAGAUUAACAUCAAUUUUGCAGCAGCCAUGGCUUGUCCUAUGAGAGAUGAUUCUACCACAAGAACCCAACCACAAGGACGGCUCCUCUUUGAAGUUUUUACAGUCGAUCUCUGGAUCAGCCAGCGAAGUCCUGCUCCCAGGAUCCAGGGAGAGACCAUGGGUGCCCUCUAGGGCAUGGUACAAAGGGAGGAUUUGUUCCAGUAGAGAAUAGAAUAGGCCUUUUCUUUCACCUUUUGGUUUCCAGGUGCUGAACUACAUGUAGGAGUCUUGGUAGUAAAACCAAGCUUAAUGGUUAUUGAAAUAGAACUACCAGAGAGGUGGUAGAAGCACAUGUUUUGUACAAGUUGGUUAACUGCCAGCAGCUUUGAAUCGUGUAACUGCUUACAAAAAAUUUCACAUGGUCCAGGAAUAAGAGGAAACAAAUGUAUGAAAAACAAAUUCCCAGAUACUUACAUUUAAAAUAAAAAGCAAACUAACAAUAA
This is a long non-coding RNA of Homo sapiens (human), 1262 nucleotides long. Ensembl annotates it as MIR3976 host gene. NCBI's taxonomy places the organism in Eukaryota, Metazoa, Chordata, Mammalia, Primates, Hominidae. The record is from Ensembl.